GAUGAACGCUGGUGGCGCGCCUAACACAUGCAAGUCGAACGGCACCCCUCUCCGGAGGGAAGCGAGUGGCGAACGGCUGAGUAACACGUGGAGAACCUGCCCCCUCCCCCGGGAUAGCCGCCCGAAAGGACGGGUAAUACCGGAUACCCCGGGGUGCCGCAUGGCACCCCGGCUAAAGCCCCGACGGGAGGGGAUGGCUCCGCGGCCCAUCAGGUAGACGGCGGGGUGACGGCCCACCGCGCCGACAACGGGUAGCCGGGUUGAGAGACCGACCGGCCAGAUUGGGACUGAGACACGGCCCAGACUCCUACGGGAGGCAGCAGUGGGGAAUCUUGCGCAAUGGGGGGAACCCUGACGCAGCGACGCCGCGUGCGGGACGGAGGCCUUCGGGUCGUAAACCGCUUUCAGCAGGGAAGAGUCAAGACUGUACCUGCAGAAGAAGCCCCGGCUAACUACGUGCCAGCAGCCGCGGUAAUACGUAGGGGGCGAGCGUUAUCCGGAUUCAUUGGGCGUAAAGCGCGCGUAGGCGGCCCGGCAGGCCGGGGUCCGAAACCGGGGGGCUCAACCCCCCGAAGCCCCCGGAACCUCCGCGGCUUGGGUCCGGUAGGGGAGGGUGGAACACCCGGUGUAGCGGUGGAAUGCGCAGAUAUCGGGUGGAACACCGGUGGCGAAGGCGGCCCUCUGGGCCGAGACCGACGCUGAGGCGCGAAAGCUGGGGGAGCGAACAGGAUUAGAUACCCUGGUAGUCCCAGCCGUAAACGAUGGACGCUAGGUGUGGGGGGACGAUCCCCCCGUGCCGCAGCCAACGCAUUAAGCGUCCCGCCUGGGGAGUACGGCCGCAAGGCUAAAACUCAAAGGAAUUGACGGGGGCCCGCACAAGCAGCGGAGCAUGUGGCUUAAUUCGAAGCAACGCGAAGAACCUUACCAGGGCUUGACAUAUGGGCGAAGCGGGGGAGACCCCGUGGCCGAGAGGAGCCCAUACAGGUGGUGCAUGGCUGUCGUCAGCUCGUGUCGUGAGAUGUUGGGUUAAGUCCCGCAACGAGCGCAACCCCCGCCGCGUGUUGCCAUCGGGUGAUGCCGGGAACCCACGCGGGACCGCCGCCGUCAAGGCGGAGGAGGGCGGGGACGACGUCAAGUCAUCAUGCCCCUUAUGCCCUGGGCUGCACACGUGCUACAAUGGCCGGUACAGAGGGAUGCCACCCCGCGAGGGGGAGCGGAUCCCGGAAAGCCGGCCCCAGUUCGGAUUGGGGGCUGCAACCCGCCCCCAUGAAGUCGGAGUUGCUAGUAAUCGCGGAUCAGCAUGCCGCGGUGAAUGCGUUCCCGGGCCU
RNAcentral lists this ribosomal RNA (1328 nucleotides) under uncultured bacterium. Its description in RNAcentral is "bacterial SSU rRNA". It matches the Rfam family "Bacterial small subunit ribosomal RNA", at positions 28 to 1381 of the family's 1533-position model. The record is from RNAcentral.